GCCAGAUGCCAUGUCAAGAGGGUAUCACACAGCCCUAUGGAGAGGUCCACAUGGCAAGAAACUAAGACCCCUUGCCAACAGCCACGCAAGUGAGCCAUGUUGGAAGCAGGUCCUCCAGCCCCAGUCAAGUCUUCAGAUGACUGCAGUCCUUGUCGACUUUUGAACUACAACUUCAUGAGAAACCUUGAGCCAGAACCUCCAGAUAAGCUGUUCUCAUAUUCCUGACCCACAAAAACUAUGUCAAUAGUAAAUUUCUGUCAUGGGAAAACAGCAUAUUUAGUGUUUUUCAGAGUGCUGUCCUGCUCUGAUGCUGACACUCUUAGUCUCUCACCCCCUAGAUUUCCCAAGCAGGAGGGCCACUCAAUUUCUGCAUCAACCAAAUGCAAGGAACACACUUGAAGGCUCUCCAAGUGGUCCUGCUGAAGUCCCCAUCACUUCUCGUGAGUUGAGAAAAACUUAGCACUGGAACAGUUCGCUAAAGAACUCUCUUAACAAAGCCUACCCACACUCAUUUAGAAGUGGUCGAGGAGACUGAACUGAGACAAAUAACAGCCUGGGCUCUUAGUGUCAACUUGCCUGGUUUCAAACGCUUGUGCCAGAUAAUCUUGGAAAUGGACCAGAUGACACCUCAACCAAACUAAUAUUCUCCAAUCGAUGAACUCAUAAGCUCAUAAAACAACGUGGAAAGAGAAGGAGGAGGUCAGAGAAGACGGCAUGAAUGAGCAAAGAGGCUGCCAUUCCUCAAAGAU
RNAcentral lists this long non-coding RNA (749 nucleotides) under Equus caballus (horse). RNAcentral describes it as "lncRNA (ENSECAG00000058270.1)". Lineage: Eukaryota; Metazoa; Chordata; Mammalia; Perissodactyla; Equidae. The record is from RNAcentral.